ACAUAGCCAAUGUCCAUGAUACUAGGUAAUAUCCACGAUUUUGUGAGACAAGGACGGAUAGAGAUUGAUCAUUCCUCCUUUAUCUAACUAACUGUCACUCUUGCAUAUAGCACUGAACAAAAAAUCACGAAUUCGUGGACAUAGCACGAAUGAGAACCACACAAUCAUGGACAUUACCUACAGGAUCAUGGACAUUGGCUACAUAAUUCAAUAUUCACUUUUUAUGAACAUAGAGGCGCUUCAAAAUAAAGUUAUAGCUAAAUCGCGAACACGUCCGCUCUCAGGCUUCUCUCUGCUUGUAUCAUGGUUUCCUGCAACACGGGAAAAACAGGAGCACUCGAAAGUGGGGAUUGACGUAAUCAAUUAGAAAACGCUAUGGCACUAGCAUGAUCUCCACUACAGGAGUUCCGAUCGUUUCGGCAACUUUUAUAAAUAUUUUAUAUUAUUUCGCUGAGCCAGCAAUACUGAAUUAUUGGAUAUGGAACAUGUGUUUGCAAAUACGAGCAAAAGAACGUAUUUUCCAGAACAUGCACUAUGGACCCACCCAAUGAGUGACAUCCGUUUGACCACGUCCCGAUUGACCACUAGCCACUUACAGGGGCUUGCACCUAGAAUUUUUCCACUAUUCAAGCGCUAUGAAUGGCUAGUGGUCAAUCAGGACGUGGUCAAACAGGUGUCAUCCCAGCACCACUUACAUAUAUAAAAUUACAUAGAACAUUCAAUGAUAUGAGAGGCUCAACUACAUACAAGUAAACGCUGAAGGCUCAACUAUAUAAUAAGUAAAAAGCUAACAUAUAAUCAGGAAACACGGUAGUGUCUCAAGUGUCAAGUCAACCGAGAACACUACCGUGUGACUUUACGCGAGUCGUCGAGGUUCGAGCAUCUGAAAUUAUUGAAUCUCAAUAAUGGCUAUACUGAUCAAGUUCUAAGUAGGCUUGAUCGAUAGCUUGAGUUCGACUUGCAUAAUAAAAGUAUUUUUAUUUUUCUGCUACGUGCCCUACAAGUAGAGAUACUGCUACACAAAGUCCGAUUUGGAAAUUUUUACUUUAAGAAACGUUAUUAUCGUCGCCUUUGUACGGCUGCAACGUCUGUCACGAGAUGUCAUUAUUAUUGACCUAGCGGAUUAUCAGACUGAUAAGUCAGGGUUAUUGUAGAAUCUAGCGAAUCAAUGUUCGCUGGCUCCUGCAGUGACCUUAAUUUAUUGGCCUGAUUUAUCCGCUGGAUCGAUAAAAUUGAUUGAUGUAAACACGGUAGUGUUUUUGGUUAGACCUCUCGGCCGAGUGGUAGCCAACGAUGUUGACGUUCGCGGCGAGUUUGACAAUUUGUAAUAAUUUCGGAGUGUAACUCAUGUUUGUGUCUAUACUUUGCAGGUAAGUUCUAUUUUUCAUUUUAUCAGAGAACAAAGAUAUUAUUCAAUCUUUUAUUCAAUCUUAUCUAUAUACUCUUAUUAUGUCACUCUAGAAAAAUCAGUUCCAAAUCGAAUAAAAA
Pogonomyrmex barbatus (red harvester ant) is the source of this 1488-nucleotide long non-coding RNA. Lineage: Eukaryota; Metazoa; Arthropoda; Insecta; Hymenoptera; Formicidae. The record is from RefSeq and is a predicted model, not a curated record.